Long non-coding RNA from Asparagus officinalis (garden asparagus), 1157 nucleotides. RefSeq lists it as uncharacterized. The record is from RefSeq and is a predicted model, not a curated record. Lineage: Eukaryota; Viridiplantae; Streptophyta; Magnoliopsida; Asparagales; Asparagaceae. The transcript has 3 exons.
CCGAGCCUGCAAAAAUUUGUGAGUCCGUGCAAUAAUUUUGAGGCAUCAGAGAAAGUAGUGCAGAGACAUGUGCGGCCUGCAAAAGCAAAAAUAAUGACAAUAUAACAUUUAUUGCAAAGAUAUGAUGAUGAAAAUUGAUCAUUUUAUUAAUGCCCAGCAGGGCGUGAGGUAGGAAAAUAUGUGAGAUGGUGAUUUUAUAAGAAGCCCCCCCUCCAUUGGGCCUUUGUAGAAGGUUCACAUUAAACUAAAACACACACACUCUCUCUCUCAUCAGUAAAUAGCAAUUUUCUUACCGUCGAGUUCUCUCUCCGACGAUGGAAGAAGACGAUGAUGAAGACGUUACUACUACAAUAUCAGAAGCUUAGAUUGGAUUGGGAGGCAUUGGAAAUUUAGAUUUUCGAUGUCUCCACUCCGACCUCGACCUCGUAGGAGUCGUUCUCAUUCGCAGCACAGCGAGGAAGAGGUUCCCACGGCAUCUUUUCCAGCGACCUCUUUCUUUGGGGUAGAGUUUCCUGCGGGCAGCUUUCCUCCUCAUGCCAAUACUGGUUGUAGCCGGGAGGUCUUCUCUUCAGCUUCCAUUAGGCAGGCCGUUAGUCCAUUCCCUCAGUUUGACAGAGAUCGCUCCGACGAAUCCUGUCGUUUGAUACGGGAAGGAGGGCGUCAUUGCUUACGCCAGCUUAUUACAGAUGCCUCCUUUACUGCGGAUUCUACCUCUACUCGGGCUUUGAAGAAGCCCAUUCCUGUUCGGAGAUCACGUUGAGGAUCCUGCUACGUUGACACUUACCGAGGAACACUGGCUGACUCUCGACGAAGGAGCUCUCUUGUACAUCCCCUCCAUUCCGCGUCAAUAUUCUUUCACCCAUUUGAAGGGACAAGCAGUGGGGCGACAGAUGUCCUGUCACCUUACUAAUGAUGCUGAGCGAGUCCAGUGUGGAUAUGCCUCUCAUCACAAGACUCCUGGUUCUAGCGGGUACCAUCAUAUUCGUGGUCUUCGACCAGGGAUCAUGGGCCUUGACACUGCACCCCCAGGCGAGGUAUCAACAGCUGCUCCUACCGUGGGUAAUCCUACCGUGGGUAAUCGUCUGGCUCUUCUUGGGAGAAGGUUACCUCCACCAGAUUAUAGAUGCUAUGGUUGGGCUUCCUCACUAGCCAAGGGA